GACGAACGCUGGCGGCGUGCUUAACACAUGCAAGUCGAACGGAAAGGCCCUGCUUUUGUGGGGUGCUCGAGUGGCGAACGGGUGAGUAACACGUGAGUAACCUGCCCUUACUUUGGGAUAACUUCAGGAAACUGGGGCUAAUACCGGAUAGGAGCUCCUGAUGCAUGGUGGGGGUUGGAAAGUUUCGGCGGUUGGGGAUGGACUCGCGGCUUAUCAGCUUGUUGGUGGGGUAGUGGCUUACCAAGGCUUUGACGGGUAGCCGGCCUGAGAGGGUGACCGGCCACAUUGGGACUGAGAUACGGCCCAGACUCCUACGGGAGGCAGCAGUGGGGAAUAUUGCACAAUGGGCGGAAGCCUGAUGCAGCAACGCCGCGUGCGGGAUGACGGCCUUCGGGUUGUAAACCGCUUUCGCCUGUGACGAAGCGUGAGUGACGGUAAUGGGUAAAGAAGCACCGGCUAACUACGUG
RNAcentral lists this ribosomal RNA (467 nucleotides) under uncultured bacterium. RNAcentral describes it as "partial 16S ribosomal RNA". It matches the Rfam family "Bacterial small subunit ribosomal RNA", at positions 28 to 507 of the family's 1533-position model. The record is from RNAcentral.